AGUCUCUUCAUGAUUAAGUUUAGUUUCAGAUAAAUUUUUAAGCCAGUUUUAAAUUUGGUCCGGUUUCUGUAAAGAAGAGAAAAGUGAAAAGAAGUCGGAGAUUUGUGUUACUACUUAAAAAUUUCUUCUCAUGCUUGUAACACAUUUGUUACUUUGUUGUAAUACUUUUGUGUUAUUUGAAGAUAAUAAAAACCACAUAUAAAAACGAAAAUUUAUUUAAAUCCUAAAAGAAAUAAUUUACUACACUAGAACAAUUUAAUAUAACGAAUAUAUUUUAAUACAGCCUUCGCUAUCGAGAACUGAAUCACAAGCAAAUGUGAAUUUUAUGUCCUUGACUUAACAACAUUAAACAUUAUUUAGUAAAUAAUUUACUUAAUGGAAUAAUUCUCUAAAAUAA
RNAcentral lists this unclassified non-coding RNA (397 nucleotides) under Melitaea cinxia (Glanville fritillary). RNAcentral describes it as "misc RNA ENSMCXG00005015530.1". Lineage: Eukaryota; Metazoa; Arthropoda; Insecta; Lepidoptera; Nymphalidae. The record is from RNAcentral.